CCACCGCCCUCGCUGGCCCAGGAACCCCCGCAGAGGCUAACGCGCACAUGGCGCGGUGGAGCUCGUACCCGAGGCCAAGCGUGGCCGGAGGCGGAUCGGGCGGAGCGCGAGGAUGAAGUGCACGCGCCUGGACCACUGUUGGGAAAAGUGGCCUCUCCUCGCUCCACGCUUUGCUGCCGACUCCCCCGGAGCCCUCCCACUGCGCUCCCGUUGUCUGGCCGAGGGCCCAUGUCGCACAGAGGUGGACACCUGCCCUCGGGCCGUUGGGAGCGCACCUGCUCCGCAGUGAAGCUGGGCCGGCACAUCCCGACCUGAGCAGAGGUGGCUGUGAAAGUCAUCCUGAAGGAGGAGUGCAUCUUCUCCAGAACGAAGGGACUUUUCUGUGAAGUCCACAGCCUGAAGCCCUUGUGUCACCGAACAUCGGCGAGUUGUUUGAAGUGACUGACACAGAGAAAAUGUUUUAUCUCAUCACCGAGGAUGUUCUCAGGGGAGACCUGUACCAUCACCUGGUUGAGCACGGCCCCAUGACAGAGGAGGAGGCCCGAGGAACGUUCCUGCAGCAACUCUGGGCUAUCCAGUGCUGCCAUCACAAAGGCAUCGUGCACGGGGACCUGAGGCUGGGGGAAUGCUGCUUGAUGCUGAGCUCAGCGUGAAGCUGGCGGACGUUCCACAGGCUAAGCACGGGCUGCAGCAGCCCCUGGGGUACGACCUGGAGGUCGUCCAGGGCCGGACUACGACAGCCCCCUGGCAGACGUCUGGAGCCUCGGCGGCUUCUGUGUGCCAUGCUCACAGGGUCCCUGCCCUUCCCAGGAGACGACUAUGGGGUGGGGUGGUGGGUGCUGAGCGGGUGGUACCCACCCCCCAUGCCCCUGUCUUACAAGGGCAGGAAGCUCCUGCAAUAACUGGUGACUCUCGACCACAGCAAGAGGAGCUUGAGAGACAUCCUGAAGGACCAUAUGGGCUGGGUCAAUAUGGGCCAGAGGAGACCCAGGCCUUACAGGGAGCUGCCUGUGACAGUGGGGCCCCUGGGUGACACACGUAGUGAGGAACAUGGGCUUUGGGAGGGACGCGAACCAAGAUUCCUUACAAAGAAGGAGACGUGACGAUAUCAUGGCGACCUCCCUCAUCCUGAGUGCCCAGAAGCCCCAGGUGGAGGGCCACACCAUCCGUGUAGACCUUACAUCCCUCCCAUCGACCCCAACAGCUGCACCUUUUUCCCACACUGUGCGGUGCAGCUGGAGGUCUCUGGGUCCCCAUGAAACACCAUCACAGCGAGCCUGUUGUCCCGCUUGGCUCCGCAAGGCGGAGGAUCAGUGGCCUGGGGAGAAUCGGGAGUUGGGACCAAAGGCCAAAGGGCCUGCCCAUCCCCUACCCGGCCCAGAGUCGAGGACUGACCACCACCUCAGCCCAACCCUCCAGCCUGGCCCUGGGGCCUCCACCUCCACCAGCAGCAGCAGUGGGGCCAGGGAACCAGCUCCCCCAGGGUGUUUCCUGCGGGGCUGCUCCCCGCAUGCUGGGCAGCCUGAUGGGGCCACCGGCCUCUUGUUCCAGCUGCAGCCAGGCCGGCGGGUGGGGGGCCAGCACGGGCCGCUGGGAGAUUCUUCAACUUGAUAAGACGCUUGUGUUCCUGUCUCCCUAGCAAGAAAAGGAUCUCUAGUGUAAAUUAAACUGCUCAACAUGUCGAAGAUGCUGUGAAAGGGUACGUAGUUGCUUUGUUCUUCAUUUGUUUACACUGUCUGCAAAGUCUUUGAGUUUAAAAUAAGAUGUAUUAAUGGAAAAUUGGAGGUUCAGUGAGGCCAACAGACCAGGAGAUGACACCAUUGACAAGAUGGUUUGUUACUCACAAUUCCCGAGGAGGGGGCAUGCCACACGGGGCCACACAGGCCACACGGGAAGCACGGGGUGGUCAGAGGCAGAGGGAGCAGGGGCUGUGGGUAGAAGCCUUUCCUGCGGGUUCUGCAGGAAGGAACAGUGAGGAAGGUGAGCAGGCUCAGGACUGGCUGGUCUGAAUAACUUCACAGGCUCUGGGGCACGGGGCUGUCCCAGGUGUCUCGUGCCCGCCUGGGUGACAGGGGCAGGGGGACAGUGGUCGGAGUGUGCAUGUCCAGUAGAGGAAGUGGUUGGGGUGUGGAUGGACCCUGGAUUGGUUGGUGUGUAUUUGAAAAGUGGGCCCAAGAAGGAGGGGUCUUCCUGGCAGGGGCGGCAAUAAGGGAGGCAGAAGGCCGAGAGGAGGGUUCAGGACAAGGCGUGUCCCGCGUACGCACGCACGCGGGAUGGAUGUUAAAGCACC
Long non-coding RNA from Equus caballus (horse), 2290 nucleotides. The record is from Ensembl. Lineage: Eukaryota; Metazoa; Chordata; Mammalia; Perissodactyla; Equidae.